RNAcentral lists this ribosomal RNA (245 nucleotides) under uncultured bacterium. Its description in RNAcentral is "partial 16S ribosomal RNA". It matches the Rfam family "Bacterial small subunit ribosomal RNA", at positions 524 to 768 of the family's 1533-position model. The record is from RNAcentral.
UACGAAGGGUGCGAACGUUAUUCGGAAUUACUGGGCGUAAAGGGUGUGUAGGCGGCACAAUAAGUUCGUUGUUAAAAGCCUUGGCCUAACUGAGGAGAUGCGACGAAAACUAUUGAGCUAGAGGGUGAGAGAGAGAAGUGGAAUUUCCGGAGUAGCGGUAAAAUGCGUGGAUCUCGGGAGGAACACCAAUGGCGAAGGCAGCUUCUUGGCUCAUUUCUGACGUUGAAACACGAAAGCGUGGGGAU